GACGAACUGUGCAAACGUUAUUCGGAAUCACUGGGCUUGAAGAGUGCGUAGGCGGUUUCGUAAGUAGGGUGUGAAAGCCCCCAGCUCAACUGGGGAACUGCGUCCUAAACUGCGAGGCUGGAGUGAGGUAGGGGUGUGUGGAAUUUCCGGGUGUAGCGGUGAAAUGCGUAGAUAUCGGAAGGAACACCUGUGGCGAAGGCGGCCAACUGGACCAUUACUGACGCUGAGGCGCGAAAGCGUGGGGAGCAAGCAGG
This 254-nucleotide ribosomal RNA is filed under the name uncultured bacterium. RNAcentral describes it as "partial 16S ribosomal RNA". It matches the Rfam family "Bacterial small subunit ribosomal RNA", at positions 524 to 776 of the family's 1533-position model. The record is from RNAcentral.